UAACAGGAUUAGAUACCCUGGGUAGUCCACGCCCUAAACUAUGAUCACUAACUAUUGGAAAUACUAUAUUCAGUGGCUAAGCGAAAGCGAUAAGUGAUCCACCUGGGAAGUAUUGUCGCAAGAUUGAAACUCAAAGGAAUUGACGGGGUUCCGCACAAGCGGUGGAGCAUGUGGUUUAAUUCGAUGAUACGCGAGAAACCUUACCAAGGCUUAAAUGUAUUACGAAUAAACUGGAAACAGUUUAGUCAUAUAUGACGGAAUACAAGGUGCUGCAUGGUUGUCUUCAGUUCGUGCUGUGAAGUGUUUGGUUAAGUCCUAUAACGAGCGCAACCCUUAUUGCUAGUUGCCAUCGGAUAAAGCCGGGGACUCUAACAAAACUGCCUGUGUAAACUGUGAGGAAGGUGGGGAUAAUGUCAAAUCAUCAUGGCCUUUGUGCCUUGGGCUACACACGUGCUACAAUGGCUGGUACAAAGGGUUGCCACUGGGCGACCAGAAGCUAAUCUCUAAAACCAGUCUCAGUUCAGAUUGGAGUCUGCAAUUCGACUCUAUGAAGAUGGAAUCGCUAGUAAUCGCGCAUCAGCAAUGGCGCGGUGAAUAAGUUCUCGGAACUUGCACACACUGCCCGUCAAGCCAGAGAAGUCAAGGGUACUUGAAGUCAGUAAUCCUUAUUGGACCUGCCCAAGGUAAAAUUGAUAACUAGGGCUAAGUCGUAACAAGGUAACCA
This 724-nucleotide ribosomal RNA is filed under the name uncultured Yeosuana sp. RNAcentral describes it as "bacterial SSU rRNA". It matches the Rfam family "Bacterial small subunit ribosomal RNA", at positions 770 to 1502 of the family's 1533-position model. The record is from RNAcentral. Lineage: Bacteria; Pseudomonadati; Bacteroidota; Flavobacteriia; Flavobacteriales; Flavobacteriaceae.